This 406-nucleotide ribosomal RNA is filed under the name uncultured bacterium. RNAcentral's name for it is "partial 16S ribosomal RNA". It matches the Rfam family "Bacterial small subunit ribosomal RNA", at positions 30 to 526 of the family's 1533-position model. The record is from RNAcentral.
AUUGAACGCUGGCGGCAGGCCUAACACAUGCAAGUCGAACGAGUAGCGGACGGGUGAGUAAGGUCUGAGAAACUGCCUGAUGGAGGGGGAAAACUACUGGAAACGGUAGCUAAUACCGCAAAACAUCAGAUGUGCCCAGAUGGGAUUAGCUUGUGGGUGGGGUAACGGCUCACAGAGGCGACGAUCCCUAGCGGGUCUGAGAGGAUGACCGGCCACACUGGAACUGAGACACGGUCCAGACUCCUACGGGAGGCAGCAGUGGGGAAUAUUGCACAAUGGGCGCAAGCCUGACGCAGCCAUGCCGCGUGUAUGAAGAAGGCCUUCGGGUUGUAAAGUACUUUCAUCGGGGAGGCGUUACCCACAGAAGAAGCACCGGCUAACUCCGUGCCAGCAGCCGCGGUAAUUC